GCUGGCAGCAUCUCCACACGGGCAGGGGAUGGGCAUGCUCCUGUAUGCUAAGACCCAGUCCCGGGGACACCAAAAGGAACUUGUGCUUUUGGGACCAGUGGAUGGCCCCAAGGACCAGGCUGGUGGCAGCGGGCUGACCUUACAGCAGAGGAAAUGACCCAGUUGUGUUCCCCGCAGUGGGAAAGCCAGGAGAGAUUGCAUGUCCCCCUCUGCUGCUAUCUGUCCUCCCUCCUGUGAAUUCACUGUCAUCUUGUCUUUUGGCAGAGCUGGAAAACUGGGAGACCACCGUAAAUAAAUCCUGUGUCUU
This is a non-coding RNA of Lonchura striata (white-rumped munia), 307 nucleotides long. The record is from RefSeq and is a predicted model, not a curated record. Lineage: Eukaryota; Metazoa; Chordata; Aves; Passeriformes; Estrildidae.